CCCAGGAAGUUCCCUCCCUCUCUUAGCUCUCUCUUCGCUUCCCCGCUUCUGAAUUCUGCUCGUCCCUCUUCGCGGCCUCGGUCCACUCUCCUAUCGCCGUCCCUCUCAGCAUGGCGGCUGAGAAGACAGCCGUUCUCAUGGCUCCUUCGGGAGCCUUCAUUUCUGUUGUUUUCGUUUCUUUUCUUUACUAAGUUAUUCACAUAUUUGCCUCUCCACACGAGGAAGACGAAUUCUGAAACAUUUCUUAUUUGGACCUUUCAAAUACCGCGCGAUUCCGCAGCAGCCCCGGAAGACACGAGAGAACACGCCCAAUCACAAAGAGACCACAUAACUCCCUUGGUGAUUGGACAGUCAUUUCAGGUUUCCAGUGAGCAAGGGGGCCGACCAGCGUUACCGACACUGGCUGUGAGUGAAACUCGGUUCCUCUUGUCUCUGUCCGUUGCGGCACGCAGUGGAGACAUCAGCAAUUUGGCACUCCAAAGGUUGUGUUAAAAGUCACAAGCUGUUUGAGAGGGUGCAACGUCAGAGUACCAGAGGGCCGGGGACACUGCGGUUGAGUGUUUGGGAGCGCCGGAGAGGUUGACCAAGCCACUGGUUUCCACCUGAAUGACUUCAAUGCACCCAGGUGAACCAAAUGUGAUAAAGCCCAUCCAUUUAUUAUAAGCCACAGAAUAUUAGAUAUUCCCCCGGAUAUAUUUUAAGGGUUUGACCCAUUUGCUUCUUCAAGCCACACCAUAUUUCUAUUUUUCCUACCCAGAUAGCCCACUCACCUGUUGGCCCUAUCUUAAAAUCUAGCAGUAGGCUUAGGCCUCCUUAUUCUCACUAACACAUCGUGUUUCUAUUUUUUUUUUAUCUCAUUUCAAGUGUUGUGUUUCACUUUGAUCUUUUAAUAUCUUCUGUUCUGUUGUGAUUUGUUUCUUUCAUUUCACAUAGAGACAGUAACCUGUGAGAGCCACCAAAGAAGCUAAAUAGUAGAGCGACAACCAGCAGCCGGUGUCAUCACGCGACCCGCUAGGCUACUGCCUGUCAAAUCUCCAUUUCAGGUACUUCGUUGACCCAAGUUAAUUGGCUACUGAACUGUCUGACUGUUUGCAUCAGUUAGCCCCAAAAUUCUCAUAAACGGCACAGCCCUUAUGAAUAUAGCUCGUUAACCGUAGAAAGAACUUGCAUUGGUCUUUUUGUGUGGGUGCUGUGCUUCUCUCACCGACAGUGAAGUCAGGAUGUUCCAGUCAUCCAGUCCAGCAGUCCACGGGGGCCACCUCUUGACAUGGUUGAAAGCAGUGACGACCCCCUUCCUGCCCAAGGACGCAAGUAACCUGUAGCACCCAGAGCAACUAG
RNAcentral lists this long non-coding RNA (1338 nucleotides) under Carassius auratus (goldfish). RNAcentral's name for it is "lncRNA (ENSCARG00000002151.1)". Lineage: Eukaryota; Metazoa; Chordata; Actinopteri; Cypriniformes; Cyprinidae. The record is from RNAcentral.